RNAcentral lists this ribosomal RNA (240 nucleotides) under uncultured bacterium. Its description in RNAcentral is "partial 16S ribosomal RNA". It matches the Rfam family "Bacterial small subunit ribosomal RNA", at positions 92 to 334 of the family's 1533-position model. The record is from RNAcentral.
CGACCGGCGCACGGGUGAGUAACGCGUAUGCAACCUACCUCUUACUGAGGGAUAGCCCUAAGAAAUUGGGAUUAAUACCUCAUAGUAUGUACGAUUCGCAUGUUUUGUACAUUAAAGGUUACGGUAAGAGAUGGGCAUGCGUCCUAUUAGCUAGAUGGUAAGGUAACGGCUUACCAUGGCAACGAUAGGUAGGGGGCCUGGGAGGGUGAUCCCCCACACUGGUACUGAGACACGGACCAG